ACAGCUCCCAUGCAGACAGCCAGGAUAAGGGACACACUCAUCACAGAACCUUCCCUGCCAGCCGUACUGACACCUAAAACAGAAAGAAAAAGCCUCAGUAAGCUACCAUAUGGGGAAGGCAUUUACCCAAUAUCCUUCAUUCAAUACAAAUACAUGGUGUGUACCCUGGUCCUGGACUAGGUGUGGGACUCAGCUCACAGGCAGAACACCCAUCCAGAAUGACUGUAAGGGGUACUCAUUUUCAUGACUUGAGAGCAGUCAGGGGAAUGAAGGGAGAACACAGGAGAAGAGAGAGGCUGCUGCCCAUCAGGCUCCUUGCCAGGCUACUACUUUCCUUUACAAGGGUGCCUGGCGAGCUACAUAUCCUGCUAUGUGCAAGUCUAGGCUAGGCACUGAGCAAAAUAAUGAUGGAGCUCACUUUUGCUCAGCAAAAUUUACAAGUCUCUCUGUGUGAUGAAAGUAGAGGAUGUAUUCUGGACCAUAUUUUAUGGAAGAAGCAAUUGAAUCUCAAAGAGAAGUGCUUUUGCUUGUGGGCCAUAUAGUAGCUAAGUAAUGGGAAGCUCCUGAGUUCUUCAAUUCGCUUUAUGACACCAUGCUAGCUCUGUUCUGUCUCUGCAAAGACACCUAUGAUGGAGGUCACACGCUGAAGGAUUCCACAUUCCAGAAGGGAGAAGGACAUUUGAACACAUAAUGCUGAUAGGAGGAAGAAUGUGAUGAGCAGAAUUGUGAGGUGGAGACAAAGGGGAAUGGGAAAUAGGAAGAGAAGAGCACUUUCAUUGUGUGAAAAGAGAGGGUGGAAAUCAGAGAUGGCUCACUGGUUGGAUCCUGAGAAAAGGGAAGAAUCUCACUAGAUGGAGAGAGGGUUGAACAAUCAAUUCUCAUUGUGGAGGAAGGUGUGAGUAAAGGCCAAGGGGUGAAGGAAGGCAGGAGAGAAAUGAGACAAAAUGGGUCUAGUAUCAAACUGGAAUAGAAACUAAUCCCUGCAUCUGUCAACUGACAGAGAAAACCAGAAAUUGCCUUAAGUUGGAUAUGUCUGGUAAAGAAGCAUAGUAUAUAAUUGUUGAUAAAGUCAAGAGCUUAAAAAAUCAGGAUGAGUCCCACCUGUGUGACCCUGAGCAAGUCACUUAACCCCCCACUGCCCAGCCCUUACUUACGCGGUAUUGAUUCUAAGAAAGAAGGUAAGAAUUUUUUUAAAAUGAGGACAAGAGUUUAACACUAUUGUCUACAGGCAACAGGGCAAUAGAAUAACAUGCUCAGACCUGUGUAUCAGGGAGACACUGGCAGAGUGGAGGUGGGAUGCAUUGGAGGGAAAGAGGCUGAAGACUGGGAGAGUCAGGAGUCUAUUAUUAUAGUCCAGGUGAGAAUAGAUGAGAGUCUGAUCUAGAGUUGAGACUGUGGGAGUGGAAUCUGAGAGGCUAGGCAGGAAACAGUGGUCACAGUUUGGCCCCCGCAGCUAUGAGAUAGCAAGACUGGUUAUUUUGAGGUGGGGGGAAGGGCUGGAUAGAGAGAGUCAGAAAGACAGCUGUCUUGUCAGUUUCCCCAGAGUUAUUUUAGGAGUGAGUCUACUCUAUCCACAAAAUAUCUGGAAGGACAGACACUGGCGUCCUUAGUAAAGUCAGGCACAGAAACACUUCAGAAAGGGGAAGAUGAGAAAUCAAGGGAAAAAAAAAUCUGAUUGCCUUCUAUAUUCCUAAAUACAUCCUCCAGGGGGGCAGUGGAUGAGAGAGAGAGAGGGACUCUAUGGCCUGAGCAGUGUGUUAGGAUUCCUCUUAGAGCCACUUUUUGUUGAAAUAUGAGCAAUAAAAAAGUCUCUUCCUGCUGCUCCUCAAAGUUGGUCUCCUUGUCCAAGGAAGAGGAACUUGAAAUUCUGGUUUGUGCUGCUAGAAAGUAAGAGAUUUAAUUAUUUAGGCAGCAGAAUGAAUAGAGUCAGGAAGGCUUGAGUUCAAGGUCUUACUGACAUAUAUUAGCUAUGCGUCCCUGGGCAAGUCAGUGGUACUGGCACAUGCUAAGAAUUUAAGUCACAGAAUAGGUAGCAAUUAGCAUUUCGAGAGGAGUUUCUCCUCAAACCUCCAAUAGGUUUGGACAAACCAAACCAAAGCAGUCUCAUUAUAGUGGGAUCCUUAGGGGAAAAAACAAAAGAUGGAGACACUAUAUGAGGUUCUACUAGUACUACUACCCUACCCCAUACAAUUCAGUUAACUAGAGGAAAUUUACUUCUACUUUGAUCUUUUUUUUUUUACUUCUACUUUGAUCUUUUUUUUUUUAAUAAAUUUUUACCUUCCGUCUUGGAGUCAAUACUGUGUAUUGGCUCCAAGGCAGAAGAGUGGUAAGGGCUAGGCAAUGGGGGUUAAGUGACUUUCCCAGGGUCACACAGCUGGGAAGUGUCUGAGGCCAGAUUUGAACCUAGGACCUCCCGUCUCUAGGCCUGGCUCUCAAUUCAUUGAGCUACCCAACUGCCCCCUACUUUGAUCUUUUGAUAGGGCCCCUUCUUAACUUUAUGGAGCACCAGUCAUCCAAGUCGUCUUUUCUUGUGUAAUGCUUGAUCAUAGUGACAUCUAGUCAACAUGCCUGUCUUCUGGGCCAUUUCAUAUUAAACAGAUAUGGAAAGAGUUAUCUUUUCCAACUAUGCACAGAAGGAAAACACUUAAUUAUAUAGAGGAGUUCAUUAAAGAUAAAUGGUUAAUUUUGAGUAGAUAAAACUGAAAGUUUUCUUUUCCAUUUUUUUCUCUGUGAAGAUAGGAUUAACAUGUCUAUUUUUAGCUAAUCAAAUCAAGAACUAACCCUAGUUCACAAGUCACUUCCUAGAGUAAGUGACAACUCCAAAGGCAACUUCCCCGCUUCCCCACCCCUACCCCCACCUUGGGCAGUGCUAGACAAAUUGAAAGACUACCAUUGGUUUUUGUGAAGAAGGGGGAGUGACAGGAAGUGACAUGGAAGAAAGGAGGAUAAAAGAGGAAACCAGCAUGGUCUAGGGGGAUUCCUUUCCUCGUUUCUGGAGAGACUGGUUGCAGAGAUUCCUGCUUUGGCUUUGGAGGAAUUUGCAUUGGUGGAACCCUGGAUGAAGACACCACAGGGACUUCUGGCUUGGAGAGAUUCCUGCCUUGGUGGCUCUGUGAGGAGACCCUCUCUGCUCAUUGGCGCUUUGGUGGGUUGGUUCUGUGGAGAGACUUUUUCUUGGAUCCUUGGCUUGCUGAUGCAGAACAAGAAGAAACCUUUGAGGUCCAACUCAUGUGUUAUUCCCUCCAGGAAGUCAACCUACAUUAAUCCUCACUAAUCUCUUUCCUUCCUCUUCACAGAAAGCACUAUCUAUGACCACAGAUUUCUAGCACUUGAUUUAUUUUCUGUCCCUUGAAUAAAUGCUCUGCCUUUGUGAGUCCUUCAUUCCAA
Molecule: non-coding RNA, 3387 nt
Organism: Monodelphis domestica (gray short-tailed opossum)
Lineage: Eukaryota; Metazoa; Chordata; Mammalia; Didelphimorphia; Didelphidae
Source: RefSeq, a predicted model, not a curated record